UAGCUCCUCCCAUUGUGGCUGAGUUCCCCAAAAACCUCACUGAUCUUACUUUGUCAGCCUCUCUUCUUCCAGAUGAUCCAAUGCCCGAGUUAGAGAAACUCUCUAACCUUAAGUUACUCUGUUUUUACUCCAACUCUUACACAGGUAACAAGAUGCUUUGCUCUGCGGGAGGCUUUCCACGACUAGUAGUGUUGAAGUUGUGGAACUAGAAAAACUUGAAGUUUGGCAUGUGGAGGAAAAGGCAAUGCAGAGUCUAAGAGAGCUUGAGAUAAGAUCCUGCACAAAUCUGAAGGUCCCAAGUGGGUUGAGGCACCUAAAGUCUCUGAUCGAAUUGAAGUUAACUAAUAUGCCAGAAGGAUUUACAGCAACCAUUGCGCAAACCAAGGCUCAACUUUGGGAUGACCUUAAGCAUUCCCCAGCAAUCACUGCAGUUAACUGGCACCCCAUGCCGAGGAAAUCAUAGGCUUCCACUCAUCUACGCAUGGGAAUUAGAAAGCUAUGUUCUGUGAGCUGUUAGAUUUAAAGGAUGCAGUGGAGAACUUAUGUGGAAAUAUAUAUAUGCGAACAAAGUACUUGGCUUUUUUGAGAUUUGGAAUGCCGCAACGGCCUUUACCGUGCCUGAAAUGCUUAUCUGAAGUGCUGAUAUAUUUUCUUGAGUAGUUUUUAAUUUAUGACUAUUAUAUAAACUUAGUUUUUGAAAAAAAUUGAUCGACCUAUGGAAGCAUGCACCUG
Molecule: non-coding RNA, 732 nt
Organism: Prunus avium (sweet cherry)
Lineage: Eukaryota; Viridiplantae; Streptophyta; Magnoliopsida; Rosales; Rosaceae
Source: RefSeq, a predicted model, not a curated record